This is a long non-coding RNA of Spodoptera frugiperda (fall armyworm), 339 nucleotides long. RefSeq lists it as uncharacterized. NCBI's taxonomy places the organism in Eukaryota, Metazoa, Arthropoda, Insecta, Lepidoptera, Noctuidae. The record is from RefSeq and is a predicted model, not a curated record. The transcript is spliced from 2 exons.
UUUUUUUUUAAGUUAAAUGGGCCGACGUUUGGCCUCUAUCUCGCCUGAUGGUAAGUGAUGAUGCGGCCUACGAUGGAGCACGUCUGUCCAUAAGCAACCUAUUCACUCGGGCUUUGAAGACACCCAGGUUAUACCCAUCAGGAAACACAGACUCCGGCAAGGAGUUCCACUCCUUUUCUCCAUUAAUGUACGUGAGUAAACCGUGAUUUUUUAGUUAAUUUAGUAUGUCUCAUGAUAAUUAUUAUAAAGACUUGUAUACUGUAUAAUAUUUGUAACUUUUUGACGCAGCUAUGAAAAAUAAAUCUUUUAUACCAAUAAAUUAAAGUUUCAUAAUACCAA